Molecule: ribosomal RNA, 447 nt
Filed under: uncultured bacterium
Lineage: Bacteria
Description: bacterial SSU rRNA
Rfam family: Bacterial small subunit ribosomal RNA
Source: RNAcentral
UAGGGAAUAUUGGACAAUGGGUGAGAGCCUGACCCAGCAACGCCGCGUGAAGGAUGAAGUAUUUCGGUAUGUAAACUUCGAAAGAAUAGGAAGAAUAAAUGACGGUACUAUUUAUAAGGUCCGGCUAACUACGUGCCAGCAGCCGCGGUAAUACGUAGGGACCAAGCGUUGUUCGGAUUUACUGGGCGUAAAGGGCGCGUAGGCGGCAAUUCAAGUCAUCUGUGAAAUCUCCGGGCUUAACUCGGAACGGUCAGAUGAUACUGCUUUGCUAGAGUGCAGAAGGGGCAAUCGGAAUUCUUGGUGUAGCGGUGAAAUGCGUAGAUAUCAAGAGGAACACCUGAGGUGAAGACGGGUUGCUGGGCUGACACUGACGCUGAGGCGCGAAAGCCAGGGGAGCAAACGGGAUUAGAUACCCCCGUAGUCCCUGAGCGGGCUGGCAAGGCGCAU